Apodemus sylvaticus (European woodmouse) is the source of this 2655-nucleotide long non-coding RNA. RefSeq lists it as uncharacterized. The record is from RefSeq and is a predicted model, not a curated record. The transcript has 3 exons. Lineage: Eukaryota; Metazoa; Chordata; Mammalia; Rodentia; Muridae.
AGGUGCCUAGGGAAGGAAGGGCUCUAACGUCACAGCUGCAAGGUUCACAGCCCAGAGCUCAGCUCUGGCAGAGCGGCCCUCAGACAAGAGGCACUCAGGCCUGGAGGCUGAGGGUCGGGGCCUGAGGCCCAGGACAGGUGGGGAGCUACCCAGCCUGGCUGCCUCCCCGAAGGCUUCCUCCCCAAUGUUCAUGUGGCAUAUGUUGUGUGCAUGUGUCUUCAAAGGCCAGAAGAGGGUAUUGGAUUCCUCCGGUAUUGGCUGCCCUCACGUGAUAGCAUGAUAGUGACCUGUGAUGUGGGGGCAUGGGAGGCAGGGAUUGGACGACCACUGCCAGAACCCAGAACAUCUGGUGGCCUUCAGACGCAUCCUCCUCAGCUCCCUUUCCUGCUCAUGGACAGACACCAAACAACUAAACGGUUGUACAGUUUGACCGGUCCUGAAGUAGUGGGUUUUAAGAGCACAAGUAAGCAGGUCCAGGAAGGAGCCCAUCAAGGUCCCCAGUAUCCUGACCAGAGAAGACAGGAAGGAGGAGAUUCUGACCGAUGGAGACCCCCAUCCAGCACAGGACCUUCCUGCCUGCUAUCCCCUGAGCUCCCUACAAAACUCUUCAUGUGCCUCAGUUUCCCAGGAUGGCUUAAGAAGGAAGAGAACAUUUCCACUCCACCAUCUCGUCUCCCAUGACCCUCAAAGACCUCAGCUUUUCUAGCCUGCUACUCCUGUUUCUGGCUUCUGAGCAGAAAGUCAGCCUUGAAACGGAGCAAGACCUGAGAUGGAGCAAGAUGCCAUAACCAAGCAGAAUUGUGAAAGCGAACGCCGUCUUGUUGGAUUGAGGACCAGAAAACAGCAUCCAAGGAAAAGGAGCUUCUCCAGGCUAAUGGCUGAGCGGGUAAGGGUGCCCGCCACCAAUCCUGACAACCUGAGUUUGGUCUCUGGAACCCACGUAGUGGAAAGAGAAAACCAAUCCCUGAAAGUUAUCCUCUGAGCUGUGCAUGGGUGCUGUGGAGUGCCUGUUCCCACGUAAAACAAAUAACUGUGAACCGGCCUUGGUGAAUCAGAACUUUUAGUCCCAGUACUCAGGAAGAAGAUGCAGGUGGAUGGAUCCCUGUAGGUUUGAAGCUAGCCUGCCUGGUCUACAGAGUGAGACCCUGUCUCCAAAAUCAAAACAAAACAAAAAGCAAUGCUUUCCCCCUUCAGGCUGAUCUUCUCUCCAAAGCAUGAAGAUGAUGCGUGGGAACCUGUUCAGAGAUGCUUGAUGAAGCACCUACUGUGUGCCCUGCUCUCUGCCAGGCGUGGGAAGGAGCUGCAAACCCAAGUUCUUGUUUAAAAGGCUGACAAGCAAGUAGAGAAGUCACAGUCAGCUGUGACAGUCAAGCACACCAGCUGAGACAGCGGCCCUGGAGCCAGCCUGUCUGCGUCUGUGUCUCAACUCUGACCCUCACUGUUCCUUAACUGAAUGGUUAAUAUCGUCAAUUUGACAGGAUCUAAAAUCACCCUAAACAAACCUCUGGACAUGCCUGUGAGGGAGCUUCUAGAUUCAGUUAGGGAGGUAGGAAGAUCCACCCUGAAUAGAAGCAGGAGUCUCAGACAAAAUAAAAGGGUGGGGUGGGUGGAGUGGGGCGGAGAGGUAAGAGCACUGGCUGCUCUUGCAGAGGACCCAGUGCCCACAUGACAGCUCACAACUGUCUGAGACUCCAGCUUCUGGGGACCCCAUGCUUCUGCCUCUGAGAAAGAGCACUGUAUUCAUGCACACACACAGUCACACAGGGACAUACACAAGCAUCCAUGUAGUUAAAAUAAAAGGAAAGGCAGAGAUGGGUGGGUAUCUAUGAGUUCCAGGUCAGCCAAGACUAUGUAAUGAGAUCCUAUCUCAAAAACAAGCAAACAGGGCUGAAGAGAUGGCUCAGCGGUUAAGAGCACUGACUGCUCUUCCGAAGAUCCUGAGUUCAAAUCCCAGCAACCACAUGGUGGCUCACAACGAUCUCGUAAUGAGAUCAGAUGCCCUCUUCUGGUGUGUCUGAAGACAGCUACAGUGUAUUUACAUAUAAUAAUAAAUAAAUCUUUUUUUAAAAAAAGACAGGACUUCACUAUGUAGCCUUGGCUGCCCUGGAACUUGCUUUGUAGACAGGCUGGUCUCGAACUCACGGAGACCCACCUGCCUCUGCCUGGGAUUAACUGCACUGCACACAGCUGUGUGCCUAUUUAAAUUUAAACUUAAAAGCACUAGAGUCCUAAAGGCAGCUUAUCUGUUCCCUUCCCAUGUGGAUGCAGUGAGUAAGUCUCCUCUCUGCCUUUCCCCAUUAUUUGUGAUUAUAAUAGGUGGCCAAGUCUAGCUUUUCCUUUUUAAAAUCUCUGGUUACAGGUUAUAAUGCCAUAAGCAAGGGGGCUACAAACAAGAUAAAACAAAGCAAAAAAACAAAAAACUCCAGCCUCGCUGGUUCCUGCAUCUCUGAGCUCACUCUUGGGGCUGGGGACUGAGGAGAACCAACUCUCUGCUCCUGCGUGCGACCAGGAACUGCUGGAGCCUUCGGAUACCGGGAACAAGACUGGGCAGGGUCCGAGCAGCUAUUGGGAGGGCACUGAAAGAGUAAUGCCUGGUAACUUUUCCUGUUCUGUGAUAAAAUACUCCGACAUAAGCCCCUUAAGGAGAGUCCAUCA